This 253-nucleotide ribosomal RNA is filed under the name uncultured bacterium. RNAcentral's name for it is "partial 16S ribosomal RNA". It matches the Rfam family "Bacterial small subunit ribosomal RNA", at positions 524 to 776 of the family's 1533-position model. The record is from RNAcentral.
UACGAAGGGGGCUAGCGUUGUUCGGAUUUACUGGGCGUAAAGCGCACGUAGGCGGAUCGUUAAGUCGGGGGUGAAAUCCUGGAGCUCAACUCCAGAACUGCCUUCGAUACUGGCGAUCUAGAGUCCGGAAGAGGUGAGUGGAACUCCUAGCGUAGAGGUGGAAUUCGUAGAUAUUAGGAAGAACACCAGUGGCGAAGGCGGCUCACUGGUCCGGUACUGACGCUGAGGUGCGAAAGCGUGGGGAGCAAACAGG